CUGCACGUUGCACCCCGGGCUUCUCUGAAUAAAAGAAAAUGUCGAAUGAAGUCCCAAUGCUCGUGCUAGAUUAUUUUGCCGUUCGUGUUGCAGUUUAGCCUUUUUUUUAUGGCUGAGUUGUGUCUUAAUCAACGGCCAAAUCU
This is a small nucleolar RNA of Beta vulgaris subsp. vulgaris (sugar beet), 143 nucleotides long. RefSeq annotates it as small nucleolar RNA snoR134. Lineage: Eukaryota; Viridiplantae; Streptophyta; Magnoliopsida; Caryophyllales; Amaranthaceae. The record is from RefSeq and is a predicted model, not a curated record. The transcript has a single exon.